GAUUAAAUGGCUGAAUUUAGGCAAUAGACUGUAAAUCUAUUUAUGAGAUUUUUUCUCUUUAAUCAUU
RNAcentral lists this transfer RNA (67 nucleotides) under Fannia armata. RNAcentral's name for it is "tRNA-Tyr". It matches the Rfam family "tRNA". Rfam says of the family: Transfer RNA (tRNA) molecules are approximately 80 nucleotides in length. Their secondary structure includes four short double-helical elements and three loops (D, anti-codon, and T loops). Lineage: Eukaryota; Metazoa; Arthropoda; Insecta; Diptera; Fanniidae. The record is from RNAcentral.